GCUCCCGUAGUCUAGCCCGGUCAAGGAUAGAGGCCUUUCGAGCCUCGGACGCGGGUUCGAAUCCCGCCGGGAGCA
Molecule: transfer RNA, 75 nt
Filed under: Methanobacteriota archaeon
Lineage: Archaea; Methanobacteriati; Methanobacteriota
Also listed under: 1 other name
Description: Euryarchaeota archaeon tRNA-Glu
Rfam family: tRNA
About the family: Transfer RNA (tRNA) molecules are approximately 80 nucleotides in length. Their secondary structure includes four short double-helical elements and three loops (D, anti-codon, and T loops).
Source: RNAcentral